GUGUGUGGAGCCUUACGUGCUGUGGGCUGUGACACGCGGGGUAGUAGGUUUCCUUUUUGUGGUGGAGGCAGUGGAAUGAGCCUUUUUCUCCCACGUUGUCUCAUAGCAGGACAAAGGGGGUGAGCUGUGGGGUUCGCGGUUACUGGAGCAGGCGGCAGAGUCCGGGCCCUGAAAGUUCGUUUCCCGCCUUCCGGCCUGCUCAGGCCAGGUAAUCCGGCCCUGCACACCUGCCUUCCCACCUAGGUUCGCUUGUCUAACCCUGGGGUCCGGUUGGCCGUCGUUGUGGUAUAUCCUGGGGAGGGACUAGGGCGCUUUGCUGGAAGGAUGUGAAGACUUCUUGAGGAAGAAAGGCGCAUCCUUGGUCAGCGUUCCAGGAAGAAAUCUUGCUAAGUUUCACCACCUCCACAGCUUGGGUGCAAAGUCAGACGUUAUUAAAAGCAAGAUGACCUUAAUUUACACUUCAGAUUUUCAUGAGAUUUGGAGAUCCAGGGAUGUGUUAGAAAUUACAUCUUCGGAAACCAAUAGAAUAAACCUUGGAAUGUGUAAUUCGUCUCAUAAACGCCACAGCAGGUCUAUUUGACAAGCAGGAGGAAACCACAGCUCUGGCAGAAAACCAAGAUGAAGACCUACAAGAAG
Molossus molossus (Pallas's mastiff bat) is the source of this 636-nucleotide RNA transcript. It is a transcript of the gene named chromosome unknown C6orf52 homolog, with no coding region annotated. NCBI's taxonomy places the organism in Eukaryota, Metazoa, Chordata, Mammalia, Chiroptera, Molossidae. The transcript is spliced from 2 exons. The record is from RefSeq and is a predicted model, not a curated record.